UACGAAGGGGGCAAGCAUUAUCCACAAUUAUUGGGUGUAAAGAGUUCUUAGACGGCAUAUUUCAGGGGCAAGUAAAAUUUUAGGGUUAUACUUAAGACUAUCUGCUUCAAAUCUUGUGCUUUGAGUAAAAUAGGGGUUGCUAGAAUUUCAUUUCGAGGGGCGGAAUCCGAUCAGUAGUGGAGGAAUGCCAGUGGCGAAGGCGGGUAACUAUAUUUCACUGACGUUUUCAAACGAAAUUAUGGGGAUCAAAACGG
RNAcentral lists this ribosomal RNA (254 nucleotides) under uncultured bacterium. RNAcentral's name for it is "partial 16S ribosomal RNA". It matches the Rfam family "Bacterial small subunit ribosomal RNA", at positions 524 to 776 of the family's 1533-position model. The record is from RNAcentral.